This 57-nucleotide transfer RNA is filed under the name Dictyocaulus eckerti (red deer lungworm). RNAcentral's name for it is "tRNA-Phe". The record is from RNAcentral. Lineage: Eukaryota; Metazoa; Nematoda; Chromadorea; Rhabditida; Metastrongylidae.
UUCUUUAGUUUAAUUUUAAAAUUUAACUUUGAAAAGGUUAAGAUGAUUGGGACGAUG